Molecule: long non-coding RNA, 453 nt
Filed under: Lupinus angustifolius (narrow-leaved blue lupine)
Lineage: Eukaryota; Viridiplantae; Streptophyta; Magnoliopsida; Fabales; Fabaceae
Description: long non-coding RNA (LANG_LNC003652)
Source: RNAcentral
AAAAAACUCUUCUAGCUGCAAGAUCAUGUAACUUGCUCUUGAAGCAUAAGGUGUUCUUCCCUUACUCUUCAAUAUGGAUCCUUGCAUACCAAGAGCUCCUUUCAACAAAUCUUUUGUAAUAUUUUAAGAUUGUUCAUCAUAACUCAGACUUGUACACUAUGAGCCAAGCAUGUUGUUUAACCUUUGACCCCUUCUUGAUACCUCCAUUGCAUUAACACAUUUCCCAUUCACAUCACUUCUCCUUAUCAACAUCCUUCUUGUUCUUGACUUUCUUGGGUAAUAUCUCUUCUUGGAUGGUGUCUCCAAUUGAAAUUUUGUAUAUUCAACCUCCCAGUCCAUUAUACGCCAUGAAGAAGAAGACGAUGAAUACUGUUUUGGGUCUUUGGUUCUCCCUCUCCACGUGUUAGAAAUGAUAGCAGCCUUUUCUUGAGCUUCCAUUCUUUUCUUUUCCUU